UACAGAGGUCUCAAGCGUUGUUCGGAUUCAUUGGGCGUAAAGGGCGCGUAGGCGGCGCGGUAAGUCGGGUGUGAAAUCUCGGAGCUUAACUCCGAAACUGCAUUCGAUACUGCCGUGCUUGAGGACUGGAGAGGAGACUGGAAUUUACGGUGUAGCGGUGAAAUGCGCAGAUAUCAGGAGGAACACCGGUGGCGAAGGCGGAUCUCUGGGCCAUUACUGACGCUGGGGUGCGAAAGCGUGGGGAGCAAACAGG
RNAcentral lists this ribosomal RNA (253 nucleotides) under uncultured bacterium. Its description in RNAcentral is "partial 16S ribosomal RNA". It matches the Rfam family "Bacterial small subunit ribosomal RNA", at positions 524 to 776 of the family's 1533-position model. The record is from RNAcentral.